AAAAUAGAAAGAAAAAAAAAAUUUUUUUUUUUGGUUUAAACAAUUUUUUUUUUCGAAAAUACGGAUUUUCAUGUUAUUUUUUUUUUUUGCUUGAAAAAAAAAAUUCUACGAAAAGUGACAAGUUUUUCGAUGACUCAAAUAUAAAACAAUAAUAAACAAAAAAUGAACCAAAGUGCUUAUUUUGGUCGGUCUUCAGUCAGAUGAUAAGACAAAGUGCCUAAUAACAAAAUUUCAAAAAAUAAUUUAAAUAAAAAAUUCAGCUUUAAAUUCAACAAAAAAAAAAUUCAAAGAACAAUAACAAAAAACCAAACUAAGUUUCCUCUAACAAAAAAUAUUUAAAUAUAUAUUUUGUUUAAGUUAUCUGUGAUUUGUGUCUAAAGUAGAUUGAAAUGCAAACUAAAAGUACGCUAAUCUUGAAUGUGAUAGCUUAAAGCAUAAAUGUGUGCAAUUAAACUAAAAAGCAAAUAAAACUUAAUUAUUUCAAAAUAAAACAACAAACAAAAAAAAAAACUCUAUCAAAAUGACGACAAAUAAUAAUAACGAUGAAAGUUAUGUAUCACCGUCCAUAACCGACAUCAGCGACAGCAGCAUCGAUGUUGAUGACGAUGACGAAGAAGAAGAUGAAUCAUGCCAUACACUGUCGCCCGAAUGUUCCUGCAGUAGUUUAAAUAGUGAAACCGCUUCAACAAUUGCCUGUACAAGUGACAAUACCAUACCUUCCUGCGUUCCAUUAGUAGCAGUUCAAGAUAGUCCCGGCACAUCGUCAGCAGCAUCCGGUUCGACUUCAACUGCAUCCACAGCACCGAUUGAUCGUCAUUAUCCGCCUGACAAUCGUUUCCUACAUCGCAAACUUCCAAUACCCGCUUCGAUACGUAAUAAUAUGCUUCAUACCUGCGCUGCUUCUGCUGCCGCUGCUGCUGAUGAUAAUUUAUCAGAAUCAAUUGCUACAACUACAACAGAAGUCGAUAUCGAUCAGGAUGUUAGUUUACGCACAGAUGCGACACCUGCUGACACACGGUUAAGUCCGGCCGAAGCCGGAGCUUGGAAGGGUGAUUCGGAAAUAGUUAGAAGUUGUUCUAUUCGUAGUAAGAGAUCGUUUGCAUUAUCUUUAAGGAGUUCACUUCGUUCUGGAUUUAAGGGUGAACGUCAGAAGUCAGCAUCACAUGGCCAAUUGCCACAUCCGCAUUCGCUUCCUGUAGUCAUUCAAACAAAACCAAAAAUUAGAAUUGUAGAAUUUAUACGAAGGAUAUUUACACAUUUUAAGAGUUCUGGAAUCGGAGAGCCUAGUGUAUACCAUGCCUUGGUUGUGAUAUUUUUAGAAUUUUUCGCAUGGGGUCUGCUAACGAUGCCCGUGAUAGCGGUCCUCAAUCAAACAUUUCCGGAUCAUACAUUUCUAAUGAACGGUCUGGUAAUGGGCAUCAAGGGUAUUUUAUCGUUUUUAAGUGCACCACUAAUUGGAGCACUAUCCGACAUAUGGGGGAGAAAAUUCUUUCUCUUGAUAACGGUAUUUUUCACAUGUGCCCCCAUACCAUUGAUGACAAUAAACACCUGGUGGUUUUUCGCCAUGAUCUCAAUUAGCGGUGUAUUUGCGGUCACAUUUUCAGUUGUGUUUGCUUAUGUAGCUGAUGUAACAACUGUUGAAGACCGAUCGAAGGCUUAUGGACUGGUUUCGGCAACAUUUGCCGCAAGUUUGGUUAUAUCGCCAGCAUUAGGUGCAAUGCUCAUGGAAAUGUACAGUGACACAUUAGUGGUAGCUUUAGCUACCGCUAUUGCUGUGUUAGAUGUAUUCUUUAUACUGGUUGCGGUGCCAGAAAGUUUGCCAGAGAAAGUGCGACCUUCAUCAUGGGGCGCACCAAUUAGUUGGGAACAAGCUGAUCCAUUUGCUGGCCUUCGUAAAGUUGGCACAGAUCACACAAUUUUAAUGCAGUGCGUUACUGUAUUACUAUCCUAUCUCCCCGAAGCUGGACAGUAUUCAUGUAUAUUUGUAUAUUUGAAAUUAAAAAUGGGCUUCAAUUCAGUUGAGGUCUCAAUAUUUAUUGCUAUGGUUGGAAUUCUCAGUAUAAUCGUUCAAGUUACGUUAGGUGUUCUAAUGCAGGUACUUGGUGCAAAACGUACAAUAAUUUUAGGUCUUAUUUUUGAAAUGAUGCAACUGCUAUGGUAUGGAUUUGGUAGUCAAACAUGGAUGAUGUGGGCAGCUGGAGUACUAGCUGCAUUAGGUUCAGUUACCUAUCCAGCGAUAAGUGUUUUUGUAUCUAUCCAUUCGACAGCAGAUAGACAAGGCGCCGUCCAAGGAAUGGUAACUGGAAUGCGUGGUCUAUGCAAUGGACUCGGUCCAGCUAUGUUCGGUGUUAUAUUUUAUCUAUUUAACGUUGAUCUAAAUGAUGAACACAAUAGCAUAGGUCACAAUGGUGACGAUGGUGUUCGAAAUGAAACCCUACAUCCGGACACAUACGCACAAUUAGCGCCUGGUCCACCAUUCGUAUUUGGUGCUUUUAUGGUUGUUUGUGCCAUAAUGGUAGCUGUGUUUAUACCAGAAAGUCGCAGUGAUGUCAGUAUUAGCAGAUCGGCGAGCGAAAAGAAAAGAUUUACCGCUUAAGCGGAAUGAUGAUGACAGGUUAAUCAUUCUCGUGCCAGUUUUCCCUCUUUAUUCCCAUUCCUGUACCUGUUUUGUUAAUUUUUUUGAGUCUCAUUGGAUGUCCAAUACGAAAUUGAAUGUGGUCGCAAAUCCUCGAGUCCCCUAGCUCCGUUAAUGCGAUCAGAUUCGUCUGCGCAGCUGUAGUAUUUUUAGAUUUUUUGUUUUUUUUUUCUAGAAUUUAAAAAUUUUUACUUGUUAAUAAAUUAAAAAUGAAAAAAAAAAAUAUAAUAAAAAAUGCAAAACGUUAAUUCUUAA
Episyrphus balteatus (marmalade hoverfly) is the source of this 2890-nucleotide RNA transcript. It is a transcript of the gene named hippocampus abundant transcript 1 protein, with no coding region annotated. Lineage: Eukaryota; Metazoa; Arthropoda; Insecta; Diptera; Syrphidae. The record is from RefSeq and is a predicted model, not a curated record. The transcript has 11 exons.